This 884-nucleotide ribosomal RNA is filed under the name Epicoccum nigrum. RNAcentral's name for it is "28S large subunit ribosomal RNA". It matches the Rfam family "Eukaryotic large subunit ribosomal RNA", at positions 59 to 961 of the family's 3401-position model. The record is from RNAcentral. Lineage: Eukaryota; Fungi; Ascomycota; Dothideomycetes; Pleosporales; Didymellaceae.
AAGAAACCAACAGGGAUUGCCCUAGUAACGGCGAGUGAAGCGGCAACAGCUCAAAUUUGAAAUCUGGCGUCUUUGGCGUCCGAGUUGUAAUUUGCAGAGGGCGCUUUGGCAUUGGCAGCGGUCCAAGUUCCUUGGAACAGGACGUCACAGAGGGUGAGAAUCCCGUACGUGGUCGCUAGCCUUUACCGUGUAAAGCCCCUUCGACGAGUCGAGUUGUUUGGGAAUGCAGCUCUAAAUGGGAGGUAAAUUUCUUCUAAAGCUAAAUACUGGCCAGAGACCGAUAGCGCACAAGUAGAGUGAUCGAAAGAUGAAAAGCACUUUGGAAAGAGAGUUAAAAAGCACGUGAAAUUGUUGAAAGGGAAGCGCUUGCAGCCAGACUUGCCUGUAGUUGCUCAUCCGGGUUUUUACCCGGUGCACUCUUCUACGGGCAGGCCAGCAUCAGUUUGGGCGGUUGGAUAAAGGUCUCUGUCAUGUACCUCCUCUCGGGGAGAUCUUAUAGGGGAGACGACAUGCAACCAGCCUGGACUGAGGUCCGCGCAUCUGCUAGGAUGCUGGCGUAAUGGCUGUAAGCGGCCCGUCUUGAAACACGGACCAAGGAGUCUAACAUCUAUGCGAGUGUUUGGGUGUCAAGCCCGAACGCGUAAUGAAAGUGAACGGAGGUGGGAACCUUUCGGGGUGCACCAUCGACCGAUCCUGAUGUCUUCGGAUGGAUUUGAGUAAGAGCAUAGCUGUUGGGACCCGAAAGAUGGUGAACUAUGCUUGAAUAGGGUGAAGCCAGAGGAAACUCUGGUGGAGGCUCGCAGCGGUUCUGACGUGCAAAUCGAUCGUCAAAUUUGGGCAUAGGGGCGAAAGACUAAUCGAACUAUCUAGUAGCUGGUUCCUGC